UGAACAUAGGCAUAAACAAGGCUAUGGG
Molecule: non-coding RNA, 28 nt
Filed under: Rattus norvegicus (Norway rat)
Lineage: Eukaryota; Metazoa; Chordata; Mammalia; Rodentia; Muridae
Source: RNAcentral